CAUCGGAUGACUGAAAGCAAGUAAUGGUCUCUUAAACCAAAUGAUAGUAAAUUAGCAACUACUUCUGAUGA
Molecule: transfer RNA, 71 nt
Filed under: Aeluropoda insignis
Lineage: Eukaryota; Metazoa; Arthropoda; Insecta; Blattodea; Blaberidae
Description: tRNA-Lys
Source: RNAcentral